RNAcentral lists this ribosomal RNA (412 nucleotides) under uncultured bacterium. Its description in RNAcentral is "bacterial SSU rRNA". It matches the Rfam family "Bacterial small subunit ribosomal RNA", at positions 10 to 422 of the family's 1533-position model. The record is from RNAcentral.
GGUUUGAUCUUGGCUCAGAUUGAACGCUGGCGGCAGGCCUAACACAUGCAAGUCGGGCGGUAGAGAGAAGCUUGCUUCUCUUGAGAGCGGCGGACGGGUGAGUAAUGCCUAGGAAUCUGCCUGGUAGUGGGGGAUAACGCUCGGAAACGGACGCUAAUACCGCAUACGUCCUACGGGAGAAAGCAGGGGACCUUCGGGCCUUGCGCUAUCAGAUGAGCCUAGGUCGGAUUAGCUAGUUGGCGAGGUAAUGGCUCACCAAGGCGACGAUCCGUAACUGGUCUGAGAGGAUGGAUCAGUCACACUGGAACUGAGACACGGUCCAGACUCCGUACGGGAGGCAGCAGGUGGGAAUAUUGGACAAUGGGCGAAGGCCUGAUCCAGCCAUGCCGCGUGUGUGAAGAAGGUCUUCGGA